Molecule: ribosomal RNA, 799 nt
Filed under: uncultured bacterium
Lineage: Bacteria
Description: bacterial SSU rRNA
Rfam family: Bacterial small subunit ribosomal RNA
Source: RNAcentral
UUNUGAACUGGGUAGCUAGAGUAUGUCAGAGGGGGGUAGAAUUCCACGUGUAGCAGUGAAAUGCGUAGAGAUGUGGAGGAAUACCGAUGGCGAAGGCAGCCCCCUGGGAUAAUACUGACGUUCAUGCUCGAAAGCGUGGGUAGCAAACAGGAUUAGAUACCCUGGUAGUCCACGCCCUAAACGAUGUCGAUUAGCUGUUGGGCAACUUGAUUGCUUAGUAGCGUAGCUAACGCGUGAAAUCGACCGCCUGGGGAGUACGGUCGCAAGAUUAAAACUCAAAGGAAUUGACGGGGACCCGCACAAGCGGUGGAUGAUGUGGAUUAAUUCGAUGCAUCGCGAAGAACCUUACCUGGUCUUGACAUGUACGGAAGAACUCAGAGACGAGUUUGUGCCUUCGGGAACUGUAACACAGGUGCUGCAUGGCUGUCGUCAGCUCGUGUCGUGAGAUGUUGGGUUAAGUCCCGCAACGAGCGCAACCCUUGUCAUUAGUUGCCAUCAUUUAGUUGGGCACUCUAAUGGGACUGCCGGUGACAAACCGGAGGAAGGUGGGGAUGACGUCAAGUCCUCAUGGCCCUUAUGACCAGGGCUUCACACGUCAUACAAUGGUCGGUACAGAGGGUAGCCAAGCCGCGAGGUGGAGCCAAUCCCAGAAAACCGAUCGUAGUCCGGAUUGCACUCUGCAACUCGAGUGCAUGAAGUCGGAAUCGCUAGUAAUCGCAGGUCAGCAUACUGCGGUGAAUACGUUCCCGGGUCUUGUACACACCGCCCGUCACACCAUGGGAGUGGGGGAUACCAGAAG